RNAcentral lists this ribosomal RNA (1080 nucleotides) under Calditrichota bacterium. Its description in RNAcentral is "bacterial SSU rRNA". It matches the Rfam family "Bacterial small subunit ribosomal RNA", at positions 1 to 1061 of the family's 1533-position model. The record is from RNAcentral. Lineage: Bacteria; Pseudomonadati; Calditrichota.
ACAAUGAAGAGUUUGAUCCUGGCUCAGGACGAACGCUGGCGGCGUGCUUAACACAUGCAAGUCAAGGGGAAAGAUUUCCUUCGGGAGAUCGAGUAUACUGGCGAACGGGUGAGUAACGCGUAGGCAACCUGCCUUUGUGAGUGGGAUAACUUCGGGAAACCGGAGCUAAUACCGCAUAAAGUUCUUUUAUCGCCUGUUAGAAGAAUCAAAGAUGCUUUUGUAUUGCACAAAGAUGGGCCUGCGUUCCAUUAGCUAGUUGGUGGGGUAACAGCCUACCAAGGCGACGAUGGAUAGCUGAUCUGAGAGGGUGAUCAGCCACACUGGGACUGAGAUACGGCCCAGACUCCUACGGGAGGCAGCAGUGAGGAAUAUUGCGCAAUGGAGGAAACUCUGACGCAGCAACGCCGCGUGGGGGAUGAAGCACUAUGGUGUGUAAACCCCUGUAGAAAGGGACGAAUGACAUGGCUUCGUAAGGGGUCGUGUUUGACGGUACCUUUAAAGUAAGCACCGGCUAACUCCGUGCCAGCAGCCGCGGUAAUACGGGGGGUGCUAGCGUUGUCCGGAAUUACUGGGCGUAAAGGGCGUGUAGGCGGCUCGGUCAGUCAGAUGUGAAAGCCCACGGCUUAACCGUGGAACUGCAUUUGAUACUGCCGGGCUUGAGUGUGAGAUGGGAUAGUGGAAUUCCCAGUGUAGCGGUGAAAUGCGUAGAUAUUGGGAAGAACACCAGUAGCGAAGGCGGCUAUCUGGCUCACUACUGACGCUAAUGCGCGAAAGCGCGGGGAGCAAACAGGAUUAGAUACCCUGGUAGUCCGCGCCGUAAACGAUGGAUACUAGAUGUUGGUUUCUUUAUUGGAAUCAGUGUCGCAGCCAACGCAUUAAGUAUCCCGCCUGGGGAGUACGAUCGCAAGGUUGAAACUCAAAGGAAUUGACGGGGGCCCGCACAAGCGGUGGAGCAUGUGGUUUAAUUCGAUGCAACGCGAAGAACCUUACCGGGGCUUGAACUGCUAGGUAAACCCCAUGAAAGUGGGACUGUUCUUCGGAACAACCUAGUAGAGGUGCUGCAUGGCUGUCGUCAAGAUC